AAAAUCGUUAAAAUUUAUCUUAGAUUAAUAAAAAAAUAAAUAUUUACUUUUAAGGUUAUGUUCUUUAAGUGACAGUUAUUGACAGAUUAUUUAUUACCAAUAAAAGCAGCUUUAUUCUCUAAUAUUUUUAUUAAUUUUAAGUUUUAGCGAUUCAACUUACAAAGGGACAAG
Long non-coding RNA from Onthophagus taurus, 171 nucleotides. RefSeq lists it as uncharacterized. The record is from RefSeq and is a predicted model, not a curated record. NCBI's taxonomy places the organism in Eukaryota, Metazoa, Arthropoda, Insecta, Coleoptera, Scarabaeidae.